AUGAGGGCCCCCACUCAGCUCCUGGGGUUGCUGCUGCUCUGGCUUAGAGGAGCCAAAUGUGAUGUUCAGAUGACCCAGUCUCCAGCCUCCUUGUCUGCAUCUCUGGGAGAAAGUGUCACCAUGACAUGCCGGACUAGUCAGGAUAUUUACAGUGAUUUAGCAUGGUAUCAGCAGAAAACAAGGGAACCUCCUAAGUUCCUGAUCCGUGGUGCAAAAAACUUGGCAGAUGGGGUCCCAUCAAGGUUCAGUGGCAGUGGAUCUGGCACACAGUAUUAUCUUAAAAUCAGAAGCCUGCAGCCUGAAGACGUAGCAACUUAUUACUGCCAACAGUAUAGUGUUUUUCCUCCCACAGUGAUUCAAGUCAUAACAUAA
This is a non-coding RNA of Peromyscus eremicus (cactus mouse), 372 nucleotides long. The record is from the annotation of a RefSeq genome assembly. Lineage: Eukaryota; Metazoa; Chordata; Mammalia; Rodentia; Cricetidae.